AGAGUUUGAUCAUGGCUCACAUUGAACGCUGGCGGAAUGCUUUACACAUGCAAGUCGAACGGUAGCAGGUCUUCGGAUGCUGACGAGUGGCGAACGGGUGAGUAAUAUAUCGGAACGUGCCCAGUCGUGGGGGAUAACGUAGCGAAAGUUACGCUAAUACCGCAUACGAUCUACGGAUGAAAGCGGGGGAUCGCAAGACCUCGCGCGAUUGGAGCGGCCGAUAUCAGAUUAGGUAGUUGGUGGGGUAAAGGCUCACCAAGCCAACGAUCUGUAGCUGGUCUGAGAGGACGACCAGCCACACUGGAACUGAGACACGGUCCAGACUCCUACGGGAGGCAGCAGUGGGGAAUUUUGGACAAUGGACGCAAGUCUGAUCCAGCCAUUCCGCGUGCAGGAUGAAGGCCCUCGGGUUGUAAACCUCUUUCAGUAGGGAAGAAGCGAAAGUGACGGUACCUACAGAAGAAGCACCGGCUAACUAUGUGCCAGCAGCCGCGGUAAUACAUAGGGUGCAAGCGUUGUCCGGAAUUAUUGGGCGUAAAGAGCUCGUAGGUGGUUCGAUACGUCGGAUGUGAAAAUCAGGGGCUCAACCCCUGGCCUGCAUUCGAUACGGUCGAGCUAGAGUGUGGUAGGGGAGACUGGAAUUCCUGGUGUAGCGGUGGAAUGCGCAGAUAUCAGGAGGAACACCGAUGGCGAAGGCAGGUCUCUGGGCCAUUACUGACACUGAGGAGCGAAAGCGUGGGGAGCGAACAGGAUUAGAUACCCUGGUAGUCCACGCCGUAAACGGUGGGCGCUAGUUGUGCGAACCUUCCACGGUUUGUGCGACGCAGCUAACGCAUUAAGCGCCCCGCCUGGGGAGUACGAUCGCAAGAUUAAAACUCAAAUGAAUUGACG
This 891-nucleotide ribosomal RNA is filed under the name uncultured Pseudomonadota bacterium. RNAcentral's name for it is "bacterial SSU rRNA". It matches the Rfam family "Bacterial small subunit ribosomal RNA", at positions 8 to 915 of the family's 1533-position model. Lineage: Bacteria; Pseudomonadati; Pseudomonadota. The record is from RNAcentral.